CCUACGGGAGGCAGCAGUAGGGAAUAUUGCUCAAUGGGGGAAACCCUGAAGCAGCAACGCCGCGUGGAGGAUGAAGGUUUUCGGAUUGUAAACUCCUUUUGUUAGAGAAGAUAAUGACGGUAUCUAACGAAUAAGCACCGGCUAACGCCGUGCCAGCAGCCGCGGUAAUACGGAGGGUGCAAGCGUUACUCGGAAUCACUGGGCGUAAAGAGCGCGUAGGCGGGAUAGCAAGUCAGAUGUGAAAUCCUAUGGCUUAACCAUAGAACUGCAUUUGAAACUGUUAUUCUAGAGUAUGGGAGAGGUAGGUGGAAUUCUUGGUGUAGGGGUAAAAUGCGUAGAGAUCAAGAGGAAUACUCAUUGCGAAGGCGACCUGCUAGAACAUAACUGACGCUGAUGCGCGAAAGCGUGGGGAGCAAACAGGAUUAGAUACCCCAGUAGUC
This 440-nucleotide ribosomal RNA is filed under the name uncultured bacterium. RNAcentral's name for it is "partial 16S ribosomal RNA". It matches the Rfam family "Bacterial small subunit ribosomal RNA", at positions 338 to 795 of the family's 1533-position model. The record is from RNAcentral.